GUCGAGCGGGGGAAGGUAGCUUGCUACCGGACCUAGCGGCGGACGGGUGAGUAAUGCUUAGGAAUCUGCCUAUUAGUGGGGGACAACAUCUCGAAAGGGAUGCUAAUACCGCAUACGUCCUACGGGAGAAAGCAGGGGAUCUUCGGACCUUGCGCUAAUAGAUGAGCCUAAGUCGGAUUAGCUAGUUGGUGGGGUAAAGGCCUACCAAGGCGACGAUCUGUAGCGGGUCUGAG
Molecule: ribosomal RNA, 233 nt
Filed under: Acinetobacter baumannii OIFC083
Lineage: Bacteria; Pseudomonadati; Pseudomonadota; Gammaproteobacteria; Moraxellales; Moraxellaceae
Also listed under: 1 other name
Description: partial 16S ribosomal RNA
Rfam family: Bacterial small subunit ribosomal RNA
Source: RNAcentral